RNAcentral lists this ribosomal RNA (303 nucleotides) under uncultured bacterium. RNAcentral's name for it is "partial 16S ribosomal RNA". It matches the Rfam family "Bacterial small subunit ribosomal RNA", at positions 507 to 807 of the family's 1533-position model. The record is from RNAcentral.
AGCAGUAGCCGCGGUAAUACGAAGGGUGGAAGCGUUACUCGGAAUUACUGGGCGUAAAGCGUGCGUAGGUGGUGGUUUAAGUCCGUUGUGAAAGCCCUGGGCUCAACCUGGGAAUUGCAGUGGAUACUGGGUCACUAGAGUGUGGUAGAGGAUAGUGGAAUUUCCGGUGUAGCAGUGAAAUGCGUAGAGAUCGGAAGGAACAUCUGUGGCGAAGGCGACUAUCUGGGCCAACACUGACACUGAGGCACGAAAGCGUGGGGAGCAAACAGGAUUAGAUACCCCAGUAGUCCCUGUCUCUUAUAC